CUUCUAAAGGAUCAAAGUUAAUCCGU
Molecule: transfer RNA, 26 nt
Filed under: Egernia stokesii
Lineage: Eukaryota; Metazoa; Chordata; Lepidosauria; Squamata; Scincidae
Description: partial tRNA-Leu
Source: RNAcentral